UUGGAGGGCAAGUCUGGUGCCAGCAGCCGCGGUAAUUCCAGCUCCAAUAGCGUAUAUUAAAGUUGUUGCAGUUAAAAAGCUCGUAGUUGAAUUUCGGGAUCAAAUAAUCGGUCGUGCCUCCGGUACGUACUGGUUUUAUUGGUUCCUCCCUUCUGACGAACCAUGAUGUCAUUAAUUUGAUGUGGUGGAGAAUCAGGACUGUUACCUUGAAAAAAUUAGAGUGUUUAAAGCAGGCUAACGCUUGAAUACAUUAGCAUGGAAUAAUGAAAUAGGACGUUCGACCCUAUUUUGUUGGUUUCUAGGAUCGACGUAAUGAUUAAUAGGGAUAGUUGGGGGCAUUAGUAUUCAAUUGUCAGAGGUGAAAUUCUUGGAUUUAUUGAAGACUAACUAUUGCGAAAGCAUUUGCCAAGGAUGUUUUCAUUAAUCAAGAACGAAAGUUAGGGGAUCGAAGACGAUCAGAUACCGUCGUAGUCUUAACCAUAAACUAUGCCGACUAGGAAUCGGGCGUCGUUAUUUUAACGACUCGUUCGGCGCCUUACGGGAAAC
RNAcentral lists this ribosomal RNA (546 nucleotides) under uncultured Glomus. Its description in RNAcentral is "SSU rRNA". It matches the Rfam family "Eukaryotic small subunit ribosomal RNA", at positions 548 to 1098 of the family's 1831-position model. Lineage: Eukaryota; Fungi; Glomeromycota; Glomeromycetes; Glomerales; Glomeraceae. The record is from RNAcentral.